CAUCACUACGCUAGAUGCAUAUCAAUAAGCGGAGGAAAAGAAACUAACUAGGAUUCCCUCAGUAACGGCGAGUGAAGCGGGAAGAGCUCAAAUUUGAAAUCUUCAAGGUUCUACCUUGACGAAUUGUAGUUUAAAGAAGUGUUUUCUGUUGGAGUUUUGGUAAAAGUUCUUUGGAAUAGGACAUCAUAGAGGGUGAGAAUCCCGUAUUUGACCAUUAUUUCCAACUUUGUGAUACACUUUCAAAGAGUCGGAUUGUUUGGGAAUGCAGUCCAAAAUGGGUGGUAAAUUUCAUCUAAAGCUAAAUACUGGCGAGAGACCGAUAGCGAACAAGUACCGUGAGGGAAAGAUGAAAAGAACUUUGAAAAGAGAGUUAAACAGUACGUGAAAUUGUCAAAAGGGAAGCGUUUGACACCAGUGUUGUUUUCUCGAAAAUCAAUUAAAAAUGGUGGGAUGUUGUGUUGUAUUGACUUUAUCAGCUUUCUGCACUUUUUUUCCUAUCUUUUUUAAUGCACUUUUCGUUUAACGAGUCAACAUCAAUUUCUUUUGUUGUAAAAGAGUCAUUGGAAGGUGGCUUUCUUUUCGGAGAAAGUGUUUAUAGCCUUUGGCUUCUGCAAUCGGAGAGAUUGAGGUCUGCAGCGUAGAUCCUUCGGGGUUAGAUACAUUUGUGCUAAGUUAUAGCCUUUAUAGACAACUUGUUGACUAUGCUCAGUCAUGUAGCUUACUCGCAUAUGCUAUUUUACCUACGCUUAGGAUGUUGACGAGACUGUCGAUCUC
Molecule: ribosomal RNA, 774 nt
Filed under: uncultured Neocallimastigales
Lineage: Eukaryota; Fungi; Neocallimastigomycota; Neocallimastigomycetes; Neocallimastigales
Description: partial large subunit ribosomal RNA
Rfam family: Eukaryotic large subunit ribosomal RNA
Source: RNAcentral